RNAcentral lists this ribosomal RNA (506 nucleotides) under uncultured bacterium. Its description in RNAcentral is "partial 16S ribosomal RNA". It matches the Rfam family "Bacterial small subunit ribosomal RNA", at positions 28 to 523 of the family's 1533-position model. The record is from RNAcentral.
GAUGAACGCUAGCUACAGGCUUAACACAUGCAAGUCGAGGGGUAACGAGAGGGAAGCUUGCUUUCCUUGUCGACGACCGGCGCACGGGUGAGUAACGCGUAUCCAACCUGCCCCCAACUAGGGAAUAACCUUGCGAAAGUAAGACUAAUACCCUAUAAUUUCCUCAGAUGACAUCUGACGAGGAAUAAAGAUUUAUCGGUUGUGGAUGGGGAUGCGUCUGAUUAGCUUGUUGGCGGGGGAACGGCCCACCAAGGCAACGAUCAGUAGGGGUUCUGGGAGGAAGGUCCCGCACAUUGGAACUGAGACACGGUCCAAACUCCUACGGGAGGCAGCAGUGAGGAAUAUUGGUCAAUGGGCGGAAGCCUGAACCAGCCAAGUAGCGUGCAGGAUGACGGCCCUAUGGGUUGUAAACUGCUUUUAUACAGGAAUAAAGUUAGCCACGUGUGGUUAUUUGUAGGUACUGUAUGAAUAAGGACCGGCUAAUUCCGUGCCAGCCGCCGCUGUAA